RNAcentral lists this ribosomal RNA (510 nucleotides) under uncultured bacterium. RNAcentral's name for it is "partial 16S ribosomal RNA". It matches the Rfam family "Bacterial small subunit ribosomal RNA", at positions 28 to 507 of the family's 1533-position model. The record is from RNAcentral.
GACGAACGCUGGCGGCGUGCUUAACACAUGCAAGUCGAACGAAGAGCGAUGGAAGCUUGCUUCUAUCAAUCUUAGUGGCGAACGGGUGAGUAACGCGUAAUCAACCUGCCCUUCAGAGGGGGACAACAGUUGGAAACGACUGCUAAUACCGCAUACGAUCCAAUCUCGGCAUCGAGGAUGGAUGAAAGGUGGCCUCUAUUUAUAAGCUAUCACUGAAGGAGGGGAGUGCGUCUGAUUAGCUAGUUGGAGGGGUAACGGCCCACCAAGGCGAUGAUCAGUAGCCGGUCUGCGAGGAUGAACGGCCACAUUGGGACUGAGACACGGCCCAGACUCCUACGGGAGGCAGCAGUGGGGAAUCUUCCGCAAUGGACGGAAGUCUGACGGAGCAACGCCGCGUGAGUGAUGACGGCCUUCGGGUUGUAAAGCUCUGUUAAUCGGGACGAAAGGUCCUCUUGCGAAUAGUUAGAGGAAUUGACGGUACCGGAAUAGAAAGCCACGGCUAACUACGUG